Pongo abelii (Sumatran orangutan) is the source of this 147-nucleotide unclassified non-coding RNA. It matches the Rfam family "Metazoan signal recognition particle RNA". Rfam says of the family: The signal recognition particle (SRP) is a universally conserved ribonucleoprotein. It is involved in the co-translational targeting of proteins to membranes. The record is from Ensembl. NCBI's taxonomy places the organism in Eukaryota, Metazoa, Chordata, Mammalia, Primates, Hominidae.
GCCGGGCAUGGUGGCGCAUGCCUGUAGUCCCAGCUACUUGGAGGCUGAGGCAGGAGAAUUGCUUGAACCUGGGAGACGGAGGUUGCAGUGAGCUGAGAUUGUGCCACUGCACUCCAGCCUGGGUGACAGAGCAAGACUCCGUCUCAA